GAUUCCAUUUCCAAAGAACUUCCAUCAAAUCUGCAGAAAGAUCCUGUGUCGUCUCUUUCGCGUUUUUGUCCAUGUAUACAUUCAUCAUUUUGAUCGCAUCAUUAUGAUGGGGGCAGAAGCACAUGUCAACACAUGCUAUAAGCAUUUCUACUACUUUGCUACAGAGCUAAAUCUGAUUGACCGCAAGGAACUUGAGCCAUUGAAAGAAAUGACCAUGCGGAUGUGUCACUGAAGCACUGCCUACAGAUACAAGUUGACAUUUAACUCAUGCCAAGAAGGAAAUGGAUCAGAGAAUGUUCCAGCAUCGAUGAAGCAAACCUUUUGCUCCCAAAUGCAGAAUGAAGAAAGCAGAGACAUAAGACUGACCUUAUAGAAUCAUAUUUAAUGAUAUUUUAUAUGAUGUUUGAAAUGGGAAUAUUCAGCAAGCUGAACGGGACACAAGUUACAUUCUGUAAACUGAUAAAAUACUGAUUGAAUCUUCUGUUUACACAGCACAAAAGCUGUUUAUAAUUCUAAGAUGAUGCAGCAUUUGAGUGACACUGCUUCUUCCACAGAGGAGUGGUUUCUUAGAUUGUGAAAAAAAACAUUUUAAUGCAAGAGAUGGUGUCUGCAGUGACCAUUCGGUCAACUUAGCCCAGCUCAUAAGUGUCUAAUAUUAUUUUCAGAUCCUUACGUUAGUUAGAUGACAGAUGGUCAAACCUGCUGGCAUGAUUCUACUACUUCCACAUUUAGAGUUUCCAGUCUGUUUUGAUUUUGGAAACUUCAGCACGUUGCUGCUGUAAGCCUUAAGUCUAUUGCAUAAAAAUCCACUUAUUCCGCAUCUCAGAAGUGCAUUAUUUUUAUAACGAUAUACAUUUUAUACUGUUCUUUCUGAUCACGUGCAAAUUUACUGUAGUGUUUCAGUUACUCCAAUAGUGUAUGUGAGUGUCAGGCUUACAAAGCCAAAUGAGCAGCGGGGACCAUAGGCAACAUUUGUAGCUCAGAACCAAUCAAAUUCCCCACUUCAUCGAGAUCAUCUUUCAAUUUGCCCCGCGCAUGCACACACAAACACAUUGAAAUGAUUUUAAAAUUAUUUAAUUACUUGUUUUUCCUGUAAAGAUUAGUGUUGCAGGAGUGAUGUUUCAGAGGAGCUGCCAUCUGUUAACCGUAAUUGAAUGCUGCUUGAGUGUUCAGACUGGUGUCUGAAUUGACUAACAAGUUUUGUAAGUUUAGCUCACAGUGUGGAAAAUCAUGCUAGUAUAUUUAAUUAAUGUUAGUCUAGAAUUUAGUUUUAAUCUUGUUUCUUGAUUUUUAAUUUUGUCUCUUUUUAAAUAGCUGUUUGAGUUGAAACUGCAUUAAUAUUGGUGGUAACAGUGGACUGUUUUUCUGGUAGUUUGGGGUAUAAAGUUGCAGCCCAUGUGAGACAGAUUUGCAUAGACUAACUCACCUUGUUUUAUUGUCUGCUUAGGCAAGUUAUAUGCCUGCCUUCCAGAACCUGGCUCAUAACAUGUCGCUUUAACAAUGAGUAAAAUAAAAUGCAGCUGUGUACCUUC
Molecule: long non-coding RNA, 1532 nt
Organism: Protopterus annectens (West African lungfish)
Lineage: Eukaryota; Metazoa; Chordata; Ceratodontiformes; Protopteridae
Exons: 2
Source: RefSeq, a predicted model, not a curated record